RNAcentral lists this ribosomal RNA (911 nucleotides) under uncultured archaeon. RNAcentral's name for it is "bacterial SSU rRNA". It matches the Rfam family "Archaeal small subunit ribosomal RNA", at positions 5 to 922 of the family's 1478-position model. The record is from RNAcentral.
UGGUUGAUCCCGCCAGACCUGACUGCUAUCGGAUUGAUACUAAGCCAUGCGAGUCUUUGUAGUAAUACAAGGCAGACGGCUCAGUAACGCGUAGUCAACCUACCCUAUGGACGGGAAUAAUCUCGGGAAACUGAGCAUAAUACCCGGCGUACCACCAUUCCUGGAAUGGUUGGUGGUUAAAAUGAUUCGUCGCCGUAGGAUGGGACUGCGACUUAUCAGCUUGUUGGUGAGGUAAAGGCCCACCAAGGCGAUUACAGGUACGGGCUCUGAGAGGAGAAGCCCGGAGAUGGGUACUGAGACACGGACCCAGGCCCUAUGGGGCGCAGCAGGCGAGAAAACUUUGCAAUGUGCGAAAGCACGACAAGGUUAAUCCGAGUGAUUUCUGCUAAAGGAAUCUUUUGCCAGUUCUAAAAAUACUAGUGAAUAAGGGGUGGGCAAGUUCUGGUGUCAGCCGCCGCGGUAAAACCAGCACCUCAAGUGGUCAGGAGGAUUAUUGGGCCUAAAGCAUCCGUAGCCUGCUCUGUAAGUUUUCGGUUAAAUCUAUAUGCUCAACGUAUAGGCUGCCGAAAAUACUGCAGUGCUAGGAAGUGGGAGAGGUAGACGGUACUUGAUAGGAAGGGGUAAAAUCCUUUGAUCUAUCGAUGACCACCUGUGGCGAAGGCGGUCUACCAGAACACGUUCGACGGUGAGGGAUGAAAGCUGGGGGAGCAAACCGGAUUAGAUACCCGGGUAGUCCCAGCUGUAAACGAUGCAGACUAGAUGAUGCAUUGGCAUAUAGCCAGUGCAGUGUCUCAGGGAAGCCGUUAAGUCUGCCGCCUGGGAAGUACGUACGCAAGUAUGAAACUUAAAGGAAUUGGCGGGGGAGCACCACAAGGGGUGAAGCCUGCGGUUCAAUUGGAGUCAACGCCGGA